AUUGAACGCUGGCGGCAGGCCUAACACGCAAGUCGAGCGGAUGAAGGGAGCUUGCUCCUGGCUUCAGCGGCGGACGGGUGAGUAAUGCCUAGGAAUCUGCCUGGUAGUGGGGGAUAACGUCCGGAAACGGGCGCUAAUACCGCAUACGUCCUGAGGGAGAGAGUGGGGGAUCUUCGGACCUCACGCUAUCAGAUGAGCCUAGGUCGGAUUAGCUAGUUGGUGGGGUAAAGGCCUACCAAGGCGACGAUCCGUAACGGGUCUGAGAGGAUGAUCAGUCACACUGGAACUGAGACACGGUCCAGACUCCUACGGGAGGCAGCAGUGGGGAAUAUUGGGCAAUGGGCGAAAGCCUGAUCCAGCCAUGCCGCGUGUGUGAAGAAGGUCUUCGGAUUGUAAAGCACUUUAAGUUGGGAGGAAGGGCAGUAAGUUAAUACCUUGCUGUUUUGACGUUACCAACAGAAUAAGCACCGGCUAACUUCGUG
This 482-nucleotide ribosomal RNA is filed under the name uncultured bacterium. RNAcentral describes it as "partial 16S ribosomal RNA". It matches the Rfam family "Bacterial small subunit ribosomal RNA", at positions 30 to 507 of the family's 1533-position model. The record is from RNAcentral.